RNAcentral lists this long non-coding RNA (203 nucleotides) under Homo sapiens (human). Its description in RNAcentral is "HSALNT0346890". The record is from RNAcentral. Lineage: Eukaryota; Metazoa; Chordata; Mammalia; Primates; Hominidae.
ACAACUGGUCAUCAAUUUAUUAAAAUAGUUGACUUAAGCAUCUGCAAUGGUGACUUCCACCUCAACUCCUGGCUCAAUACUGAUGGAAGUAAUCUGCUUAACAAUCUCAGAAGGACUGUGCAAGUCAAUGAGUCGCUUGUGAAUUCUCAUCUGGAAACGAUCCCACGUCUUAGAACCUUCACCACAAGGAGUUUUUCUUGUAG